Rattus norvegicus (Norway rat) is the source of this 36665-nucleotide non-coding RNA. The record is from RefSeq and is a predicted model, not a curated record. Lineage: Eukaryota; Metazoa; Chordata; Mammalia; Rodentia; Muridae.
UGAGCCCUGCCCAAGAGAGGGUCUUCUGUGAAACUCUCCUUACCCUGCCUCCUCCCUUGCAGGGCACAGUUGAACUGGGGAUAGUGGAGGCACUGUUGGGUCACACGCUAAGGCAAAGAUAUCCUAAAGAGGGGAGUCCAGUGUCUGUGUGCUGGGUGGCUAACUCAGUGCUUGGAAUUUUAUGCUGCUGCUGGUGGCAUACUGGCUUGGGGAGGUGUGAGUGGAGUUAACAUGGUAAGGGCACAUUACCCAGAGAACUGGACCCCCGUGGUGGCAGGAAUAAUUUCUGCAGAGGGUAAGACUGACAACCCAUGAUCCUUCAGGCUGAGAGGAUAGCUAGCAGGCUACAGGGAUGGGAGAGUGGCCCCUAGAUGACAGGGCUCUAGAUGUAGCCAGGGAGACUCUUGCAAAAGAUUGUUGCCCAGUCUUUCAUGAACAGAGAAAUGUGUGUGCAUCAGGAAAAGGCGUGUAUUUGGCAACAAUGAGGCCCAGGAGUAUGGUUGUAGAGUUCAAAGCACAGCACAUGGGAGGGAUGCAGUAACAACAGGUCCGCUCUGGUAAGUUUCUGGACCUGCGAACAGUUUUCUUAAGGAGAAAAGUCCGAAAGACAGAGUUGGAGUUCAAUCUUGGGGACUGAAUCUGUUUUAUAUGAAAAUCAGUCCUGGAGCCAGAGUCAGUUUAGUACCGAGAAUCAAAGUCGCUGCGCGCAGGCGCACACCGUGCUACGUUCUGCUUAUCUCCUCCUUUAUUCCAACCUGCACUCCACUCGCUCCCUUCUUUCUAGGGGGGUGGGAAUGGGGGGAAGCUUGUGAUGUGGCCUUAACAAGCUUCCCAUUCGGCAGUAGGGGAGAGCGAGGGUACGAUGGACAGGGCUCUGGAGCCCAGUAUCCUGAGCUGCGCCACCAGGGUAGACACAGAGGACCCAGGCAAAGAGCUUUGGGUCGAGACAGUCCCUAGACUCGGAGAGGCCAACUCUGAUGGUCCCUGAGUUGGCACCGGUGCCUCAGAACCCUCCCGGACACCAGGCCCAGCGCAACUCAGCAGGGAGAUGCCGGGUACUCCCCCGCCCGCUCUGGGAGGGAAUGUCGGCAAAGCCGGGAAGCUCAGCCCGGUUAUUAAUUCAUUGGGUCGUGUGCCGCUAAUCAAGCCCGACUCUGUGCAGCCACCGUGAAGCCCAGCAGGGUCACUGGGGCCCAGCUUUGUGUCUGCAAGAGGCCAAGUUGUUCCUGAAGCCUCCAGCUCGCCUCCCGGAUCUGCACACCAGCGCAGUCCAGGAGCUCAGAGCAGGGACUGUCACGUCCAAAGGUGGGCUUCCCACAUUGUGAGGGAGGUGGCGUCUCACUUCAAGAGAGACUCCACUCUCUAAACACACCUUACUUCACUCUUCUCCUAACUGGGGGGCGGGGACAGACCCUACUCUUCAAAGCAGAAAACUAUUCUUCAAACCCACACCUGGCCUCCUUUUCCUGGCUAACUCCUAAGCACGUAGGAAAUUAUUCAACCUGGCUCUUCAGGUGGUUCCCCCCACUUCAGCCGGCAGAUCCUGCAGAUCAGGCCCUUGCUGCCUCCCACCCCAGACCCCUGGCCGCGGGCACAACAGCCUGGCACUCUCUGGGGCUUGGACUGCUUUAGGAGAGUGUCUGUCUGCGCUUCCCUCUCCGGAGUUAAUAUUAACCAGGAGCUCCUGCGAUCCAGAACUGCUCAGAAAGUUCCACUGGGGACGGUCCUGCCAUGGUUGAGGGACUUGGGCUCAGUCACUUUAGAGAGACAGACUGGGAGGCAGGAGAGACUGAAGAGAGGGGACCUCGGCCCGAACCAAGUGGUUGUUAAAGGGGGGAUGGGUGGGUGGAAGGGGCGGAUGGCAGGUUCCCCGGAGAUUCCCUGGCUUCACCCCUUCACCUCUAGUCCUGCCUUCUCGCCACCUCCUUCCUUCCCAUUCCCUCUUAUCUCUGCCAACCCGGAAUAAGAACCAGCGAGGGUUGUACCAAGGGGAACUUCCUAGACUGCCACCUUUACAGCCACCCUCAUUUUGGGGGAUCUUUGCAGGGUGGGUGAGAAGAUCCUGGCCUGGCCUUCCCCACCCCCACUUUUGCUGUCUCUACCACCUCUUUUUGUGUUGGGAACCAGAAUGACCACUGCCCAAGGGAGAAAAGUAUUUGUUUUCGUUUCCUUCGUCUAAAGGAACUUGACAGAAGGUCAGAAGUUCAAAUACUGCUCGCGCGCGCACGAGGCGGCGGCGAGAGUGAUCCGUUGUAGGGAGGCUAAGCUCCGGGUCCCUGACUGGAAGGGUGGCGUGAGGGAAAGGACUUAAUUGGGGAUCUCCGUUUAGGGCGCUGAGGCCGAGGGGCCGCGAGGGUGGCGGGGUUGCAGUCCAGGUCAGACCCGCGGGGCUCCCUGCCUUGCGACUUCUCGCGGCUCAACCCCUGCCUGCGCGCCCUAGAGAGUGAGCGCGCUCGGAGCCCUGCGCUCGGGCCCGGCGCACUCCGCGCCUGCAGGGUCAGGGACAAGCCGCCGGAGCUCAACCCCCGCGCGCUGAAACCCUAGCCUCGGGAUCGAUAGCGCAGGAGUAAGCCGGGCUGAAAGGCGUCUACCAAGGCUCGGCGCUCUCCCAGCUCUGCGACACGCAGAGGCCCGGCGGGCCGGACUAGGGAGCGGGCCAGCCGAGGACCCCCUUGCAGACCCAUCCGAGAUGAGGACCCUGCGUGUCCACGACAGGCCUCUUUGCAUUGGUAAUCUUUUCUCUGAUCGCACCUUCCCAAGGACCUCCUUAUCCUGAGAUGCCCCCCCCCCCUCGGGAGGGGAGGCGAAUAGGGUAGCCAGGGGAUGGGUGCCCGGGGCCAGCGGGAGAACUCGCUCUUGCAAGCCGGACCAGUCGGGCGCCCCGCGGUCCGCGCAGAGUUAACUGGCUCGCGCAGCUCCCCGACUCCCGCGCGCGCGCGCGCCCCCACACUCGCGGUCCAGAUUUAAGGUGGUCGGGAGCAGAUGAGGGAGAUGGAGAGAGAAUGGCCCUGUACUCAGCCUCCACGACUUCCUUUUGCUCCAGCUCUGGCCUGCCACCCUAAGACUAGUCUCCUAGGCUUCCCACACAGCAGGUACCCGGUGGCGAGCUGCGCGUCGCGUCGCGUCGCGUCGCGCGGGCUGUUCCACUCUUGUUUUCUCCAGCCCCCGCCCCCUGCACUUGCGCCCCGCCAGCGCCGCCCCUCCAGCCGCUUGACGCACCUAGCCCUAAAGGUAGGACUUGAAUAUUUUAAUAGGGCAGUAAAAAGGAUGCUGACCUAUAUUUGCAAGGAAACCCAUUUCCAGCUCCAGUCAUACGUGCAUGGAGUUUCAGAAAGUCUCGGUUUGGCUGGAAGAUUGGUAGCCUAGAAAUCUCAAAGGAGGUGGGAUGGGAAGAGAGGCUUUGCCUUCCGUCUAUCCACCCUGGUCGCCGAAUAUUUAUUCGCGUCUAAUUCUUAUGCAAGCAGGUUGAAAAUUAAAGGGAUUGCAAAGCCAGCAAGUUCCAAGUCCCUCCCCUAAGGUACCGCGGGCUCUGGAGAACUGAGGAGCAUCCUUAAAGAAAUAUCAAUACAUUCUCGACCGGCACAAUUGAGGACGACGGGAUCGCAGUCAGGCUACGCGAGACAGUGGGGACAAGACGGGCGACUCUGGAGCUUCUGCCUUUUGUCACAAUUGCCCUCUCCUCAGCUUUCCCAGUUACAGUUCUUUGGGAAGGAACCCGUUUCCCACCCGCAAUGGGUCUCUACCUGAGUCAUCAGCCGGUCUGCUCCAGUGUUUUCCUCAUCCUUAAAUAUGAUGUCGGGGUUGUAAUUGGGGGUGAGUUCCUUAAAUCGUUCGGAGUUUCUUGUGAUCUUCCCUUCAUAUCGGCCGCUGGCCCCUAGGGUCUUCUCGGCUACGUUGGGGAUAAACUGCUUGUAGGCUAAAGGGGUCAGCUUUUUGGGGUGCCGCCUCUUUCCAAACCCCCUGCCGGGCCCACAGGCCAGUCCGGGGCACACCAGCAGCGAGGAAGCAAGGGCCACCAGAAAACAUCUGGCCAGCAGCAGCAGCAUCUCGUCCGCGGAACCUGAGGACUUGCGAGCCGUCCCCGCGCCGGUCUGUGCGCGAGCUGGUACGCGCGGGUGUGUGCGUGUGCGCUCCUCCUUGCGCUCGGCUCUCCCUUCCUCGCUCGGCUCGUUCGUUCCCUCUGGCGCUGCCUGGCUCUUUCUCUUCCUAUAUAACCUUGCCUGCUGUUGCUGCAGGGGACUUGUCUCCGAUCCCCACCCAGACAGGGGCUGCGAUGGCAGGCUGCCGGUCGCUGGUAACGGAACACAUCGGAGUUGGGUCUCGAGACGGCAAUUAAAAGACAAAAAGAGCCUGAUUUUAAAUGGUAGCAAGGCUGGAGAGCUUGUGAGACAGGCUGCCUUUCGCACUAUAUUAUAGCUGGCAGGGGCGCAUCUGAUUGGCCAAGCCGCACAAGCUUGUCUUCAGAUGUUAACCCUGAGAAAGACUACAUUUCUCCCCCCUCUGGCUGCUGUGGCUUUAUUUUCACCUGAAGGCUUCUAGUUUGAAAAAAGGAAAGAAAAGAAAAGAAAAGUCUUUACUAAGGAAAAAGAAAAAUUUCAAGAAAAGUCUUAAGCCAGAAAAAUAGACCGUGAAACUCCCUGUUUUUAUAGAUGAUGGGAUUCUGCUCUGGCCUUUCUCCCUUCCCACUCACAGGCAAGAUUCCUCUAGGAUGAGCAGUAGAGGUGAGCUAUUCAUGAGGAAUGGAGUACCUACUCAGGGAUCGAGUCCUCCAGUGUUGUCCCAUGGGACCAGCCUCUGGCUCCUGAUCCUGUCCCAGUGCAAGCUCAACCUUCAGUGGGGUGUUUCAGAGGUUCCCUUUGCUUAGAACCUUGGUUGCUUUUGAGUUGGUGUGAGGAGAGGAAAGUGCUUGCUACUCCCUAGGAUGAGUCUCAACUGGCAGGAGGGCAGAACCUCACUGUCCCAGGGUGGGAAGGGGUUGACUAAAGCUCUCACACCUGCCCUCUCUGGAGUUCUCUAUCCUUUGAUUUAUGAGGACCAAGUGCAGAUUCUUAGUGGGAGUUGGUCCCAGCUUCGUGUAGGCCAAAUAAGAGCCAGUCUCUCCAGCCUUUAAGUACCAGGGGUGGGGGGGCAACCGGGAAAAAUAUAUACAAAAGGGACCCAGUGUUCUUGCCCCAGGAGGGCGGGUCUGCAUGGCAUGUAGCUGUAAUAUUACUAGCUGGUGCUGGGCCUGAGAAGACCUGAGCAUCCUGGAGCCCCAUCUUGCCUCCCUCUCUUCUUGUUCUCUGUGCAUGCUGACCAGCACUCUCUUCUUGAUGUCUUUGGAUAUAGACUGGUGCAUGGAUCCUGCACCAGCUCUCCUCGGCAUCAGAUGGAUAAGCGGAUGAGAUUUGAAGACAAACCCCUAAACUGCCUGCGUUCCAUGUGGGCACAACUGGCCUAGGAGUGCCCAGACAUAGUCAGCUCCCUCUUGGCUGUGGGGAAGGAGGUGACUUGGUUAUGCUCUGGCCUAUUGUCUGCCCCCACUCCAUCUCUAGGGACAAGAGAUGCUAGUUCCAGGAGAGUCUGGCAAGGGCUGGCCUUCCUGGAACCUGGGAGGAUCUUUAGAAGGAAAAUGAAGGGUUAUUUGCUAAACCCUGUUGUUUUUUUCCUUGUACCUAGGGGCAGCUUGCUUCUUGCUCCAGGCUGCAGACCGUUUGGAUAAAAAGCAAUCACCGUUCAUAUUUGUUGUCUUGAGAAUGAGACCAGGAGCCUGGCCACAGGGGAGUGGGGUGGGGGGACAUGUGGCCUUUCUUCUCUGCCUCCUUCCCGGUGAAUCCCUCCCACUCCCCACUUCCCAGACACCAGACACUUGCUGCCUUCCACCUCCAGACACCAGAUGGCUCCCUCUCUUUGCUCUCCCCUCUAGACCAUUUGGGCCCCUCCCUGUGCCUGCAAGAGGUUCCAGAGUCCAGCCUCUGCCUGGUGGGGCCAGCCAUCCCCUCAACUCCCAGGGGCUACUUUUCAUUCGUCUAGCUCUUCCUCCUGCUGGGCUUCGGCAGGCUCUUACCCUUCGAGCACCUUUCCAUCCUUCACUCUGAGGAGCACUGGCCAAUCUUUGUGUCUGCCCCACCCCCCAAGAGGCAGUGUCCUGGGCAUGGCCCCCUCCCCCUUCCAGCCCCUGCCGCUAGAUGGCGUCCUCACUCUGCCUUCAACUCUGGCCUGCCGGGUUGGGGAAAUUCUGCAGUCUCCAGUUGGAAAGUCCUGGAAGCAGGACUAGGCUCUUUGGCUCCUCCUCUGUUCUCUGCCACCUGUCUUUCCUUCCCAACCCUUACUUCCCUUUCCACAGUUUCCACAGUUUGAGCUAGGGAUCCCAGCCCAGUCCGUGCCUCCUGGCCUCUUCUCUUUUCCUGUUUUCUCUCCCAGUUGACUUCUCUUUCUUUGACAGCUCUGUCACCAUCUCAUUCUGCCCAAUCACACAGUUACGUCUCAUUUUCCUCCUGAAUUUUUUUCAGUUUUGGCAAAUAGAGUUUUACCUGCUCCAGUUUGUUCUCUGGGGCGAAAGCUAGGGGAGAGGAAAAUUCUACAGUCAAGGAGAUACCUACAGUCUGGGAAAGCUGCUUUGGUGCUAAUGGUCAGAGAAUCACAUGCUAUAUCAUACUUUGUCUACGCCCUGUCCAUCCUUCAGUGGGUUCUGUGUAAGGUGUAAGCCAUGACUGUUUCAUUUUGGGUCCAAAUAGGCCUCAGCUCUCUGAGCCUUUAGAGUCUCCAAAUGGUUUCUGGUCCACUACAGAGCCACCAGGUACAUUUGUGACUUGGAAAGAGGAUGUAGGCAGGUGGCCUGCUGUAUGGCCUAGAGGACCAAGGGAUGGGUCUGGAUGUCAUAACCAGUUCUUCUGACCCCAGUUUGGGCAUUUCUUUACCACAGCUGCUGUGGUACUCCAAAAUGCCAUCACCUCUUUCCCUCCGGUCUUGUAGCUGCUGAAGCACAGAGGCCCCUGGGAAAGAGGGACCCUACCAUUCUCCUUUGAAGCCAAGCCAAGAGCAUGAAGCGGUGAAGCUUACGGUUCAUGCCUGCUGUGGUAUAGAGAAGAGGAGAAAAAGGGCUGGCAGGACGGAGCCAGACCCUUUCUCUAGGAGGCUUCAGGCGACCAGGAAACCAGGUGGACGGGUACGGACUGCUUCUUCCUCUGCGGCAGGAGGGUUUUGCAGAGGAUUCUGCUGGUUGAGAAGUGGUCACUCACUCCAGAAAGAACCGCUUCCAUCAGAUGCUGUGCAGCUCUGCUGAGUGUUGUGCCAGCCUCAAGAGUCAUGUCACGGUGGCCACCCGGAUCCUGGGACUGGGACUGGAGGCUGGACAACAGCAGGGCGCUGCAGAAGAUUGCUUUCUCCGAAGAGAGGACAUCUCUUCCCCUCUGUCUCUCACCCCACCCUUCAGUGACCAGGGGAUUUCACCUCUUUGGGGGCUGGGUUCUUCAUUUUUGACUGUCCUACACAGAGAGGGUCUCCAGGCCUGAAGUCACAUGUCACCUAGAACUCAGGUUAGCAAAGCUUCCUUGCUCAGUGUUGCACGUUGUCUUUCAGUUAGACUUGCACUGAAUUUCAGUUUACCAACACGAACAACCCCACUGAGGAAACGAGCACAGAGUUUGUAUAUUCUGUCCUAUCCCGCAGAGAAUCUAUGGCAGGAACAUCAGCAAUAGCAGUCCCCGAGCCCCAGAGCCUGUCAUACAUCUCCAGCUUAUGAUCUGUGGGGCCCAUGGCUGUAUCAGCAGAGGGGAAGCAAGGAAUGGAAGCAGAAAAGGAAGCAUGAACGUGCACUUGUAAAGAUAAGGCACAGAGGAAUGUGUGCAUCUUGGGGCUCAGGUAAAAAGUGGUCCAGAAUCAGAGAUGCUGAGGAGAAAACUAGGGGUGUCUGAGAGUGGUUCUCCUCAGCUGCUCUGUCCUGUCGCUUCUUGCAUUGGGCACACAGGGUCACUAUUCUCUCUCCGAGACUCCAUCCUUACCAUUGCCCUGGAGGGGCAUGUUUCCUCACAAAGAAAGGUGACCUCACCCACGGGCACCAAGCCAUGUGUGAUCCGUGUGCCCCUGAUGCUGACUUUAGCCCUGGCCCCUCAACCACCUCCCUUCUUGUCUGAUGUAAGAGUGUUUCCAAGAAGAAUACUGUGUGCCCGAUAGACACUGUGGGUUCAGGACUAGGCAUGUCCACGUUGAAUUUUUGUGAUGCUUUAACCAGGAACGGAGGGCUCUUGCUGCUGUCCUCAGAGGUUAGCUUGUUUUGAGGGCUCCAGCUUCUCUGUGGUGGCCUGGAUGGGCAUCGUGGUUACAAAGGAGAGAUUUGUAGAUGUUGCUUCUGGUUCCUUUUCAUGUUGCUGGGAUGAAGUGCUACGGCAAAACAACUUGAAGGAGUUGCUCUUGAUUCACAAUAGGGAAGUCCUCAGAGCAGAGUAGGUGGCAACGGGCCAAACCGCAUUUUCAGUCAGGAAGCAGAGAGAUGAGCGCUGUUGCCAGGUUCACUGGCUUCCAUUUAUGCAUUGCAGGGCUUAAGCCCAGGGAAUGGUCCCAUGUAUGGUGGGAAGAUCUUCUUAUCUCAACUAAUCUAGCAAACAAGUCAUCCACUAUAGACAUGCCCAGAGAGCCUUGGUCAGGGUUCCUCAGUGGUUGUCACAUCAGGACAGCGAGUGUCAAGUCCUAUGGUCUUUGGUUGGUACUUCUUAUGGCCAGGGUUCCAUGUAUCAUGUACCUGCUGCUAUGGAGAAUGGACAGGGAACCUGGUGAUGGUCCCUGUGGCUAAGGUGCUCCUCUCUCCAUUGUAACGUUAAAGCUUUGGCAGAGUUCAGUUUUCAGAUUAUUCUUAGAUUAUUGGUGUGUGAGAUUCAGGUGACAUGUAUCUUCAAGCAGGUGUUGUGACUGCUCAGGGCUGAGUCUAUGUCAGUUCCUCUUGAGGCAAGUUGCUUCUGUCUGUGAGUCUGGCAGCUGGUUCCUACAUGCUCAGUAUUGAGUGCUUGGGUAGCCUUACUACAUGCUUGUGUGCCUGUGUGCCUGGUCUAUAUGCUAUGUGCAGUGGGCAGCUUAAAACAAGAGUCUUAAAGAGUGGACACGAAAAGCAUGUGACUUGCUGGUGGGGUUUGUUUUGUUCGAAGGACUGAGCUGUGCCAUAGUUUUGUUUUGGUAUCUGAGAUGGCACUCAACUCAAAUGGCAGAAACCUUGGCCCCUACUUGACAGUCUGUAGAAUACCUUCUCACUGGGCCCCCAGCAUCUCUGGUGUCAGGGAAAGUGCGAAACCAUGUACAUCUCAUAGCUGCCAUUGAAGAAUUUCCAGAAAGAUUUCCAGUUAGAGAACCAGGAUCAGACCUGGAAGGAUUUCCUUUGGCUCCAGGUUGAUGUAAAAAUGAGUCCAGGAACCUCAUUCUAAGCUUUUGAUUAACUUCAAUGGGAAGAUUCUAGAUUCUACAUCCUUGACCUUUGCAGAUGGAGACCUGCUCAUGCUUGGGGAGCCCUCUGUCUUUGCCGUGGCUAUCUUGGGCAGGAGUCAUUCCUAGUGCAUUGUGUCUGCACUUUCGCCUGCUGCCCUGCAUGAGGCUUCCAGCCCUGCCACUGUCUGCUGCCAUUCCCUGUGGUGCCAGACAUUGAGCUUCUUGUACGUGGACUGCGUACCAGUGGCCUGUGUUGUUUCUUAUAGCCAAGUGCUCUCCUGGGAGCUGAACUCUGACAUCAAGACUGUGUCAGCACACCUCUGCACUUCUAGAAGGGUCUGUUGGUCUCAUUCAUCUAAGUUCCUAGCUAAGAUGAUGUUCAAUAAAUAUUGAUCACUGGAUGAAAGUUUCUUAUCAGUGCAGCACACUCUAGUGGUUUCUAUUUGGAAAGGAAUUCAACAAAAAUAAACUAAGAAAACCAGUUUGGUUUCACUGUGAGGCCAAAGGCAGCUCAUAGUAGGAUGAGCCAACUGACUUUGGAGAGGCCAUUUCUUUAGCUUGGCUAAGAAGAACAUUCAAUGAAACUUGAGUUUCUCUCAACAAUUCUACUUCCUGUCUUUCUCAUCCUGUUUGAAGAGUAAAUAAGAUAAACCAUUGUCGGCCAUCAUGUAGUGGAUCCAACUCUUUAGAAAGUACUCUCCUACUUUGUUCCCCCUUUUUCUUUUUUCCUGAGAGAGUCUCACUAGGUAGACCUGACUGGUCUGGAACUAUGUAUAUCAGGUUAACCUCAAAUUCCUGUUACUUUUUCGGGGCACAGACACAUGUGGCUGCUUUAUGCAUAAGACCCCCGUAGUGACCUAGCACCGCCGACAGGCAGCACAACUCAUAACUGAGUUUCCGGAUGGCAUCGGGUCCCCUAGGUAACACUUCCAGGUGGUACAGCAGCCACCAUGGUCUCCAAAAGACAGGAAUCGUGGCUGGAUUCUUAGCUUAGUCUCUGCUUUAGGGGUCCAGGGAGAUCCUCUUCUCUGCCUUGGAAUGGGGGUCUCAGUGAGCUGUGCCAUCCGUAACUUUGUAACUCUCCUAACCUAUGGCUUGACCUUCCAGGAGGUCCCAGCUUCUAGUUCAGGCACUGUCCAGCACUCACUCAAAGCCAUUUCCUUCCCCUCUAAGGACUGCUAUGAACUGACUCCCUUGGAGGGAGCUGGCUCUUUCUACCAGCAGCCUCUUCAUAGCAGGAGGAGACUCCUCAGAGCCUGUUCCCUGGAAAGUGCCUGGUGCCACUUUUUCACAGAUGGGAGGGCUGGGGAGCCUAGACAGCAUCUCACUGGGGGAGGGCAGGAUGCCAAGAGAGACCCAGAGGUAUGAGGAGGAGCCAAACUCCACUUCUCCUCUGGCCUUUUCAGUGUGAGGUGGCUUGCCCCAAAGUACACAGACCCUUAGAUGAAUCCAGCUCUCUGUUUGAGUGGCACCCAGACAAAGCCUGCCCUGGGGAUGCUGCUCCGCUCCCUCCCACCAUGGUAACUCUGGCAUUCACUGGACCAUGGGAGCAGGCCAAGUAUGCGUGUGAUUGUCUCGAUUCUCUUGUUUCUUCACAUUGGCAGACGGUGUUUGAAUGUUGCGUACAUGUUUUUCUUUCUCAUCCUGACAUAUUUAUACCCUAGUUUUGUUUUGUUGUAUUUGGCCCGGUGGAGAAGGGAUGUGUGUGGGAGGUGACAGAGUGGCCGGGACACCCUUUGUAUUAGAUUUGUUGUGAAUGCCCAUCUAAGGAUCUUAGAAUUUGAUCACAGAAGGAAGGGACUUGGAAGCAUUCUUAAAACUGCAUGCCAAUGUAAUCGCACGGCAUUUUGAUCCAGCUAUUAAUGAAUCAAAUGAAGCAGGUAUAAAGGCUUCACAUACCUCAGGCAACAGUUCCAUAAAGGAGGAAGUAAAACACAUAAUUAGGCAAAUCAAAUAAGGCACGGAAACAGCUUUCAAAUAUUUAGUCACAUGUCAUUUCCCAUUAGUUUACUGUGUGCUUAAAUGAGCCUGUGGUUUUAUGGCCUGGUUAAGAAGAGCGGCAACUGCAGACGCAUGGCUUUCAAAGGUGGCUUCCUCACACCUCAGGGUGUGGAGCAGGGCCGGUUAUACCUAACUGAAGGGGAGAAAGAGAAUAGGCCUUUCCAAGGAUGGCCUGGAGAAUGCCAGCGUCACAUAAACAUCAGUUCAUGAGGCUGCAGCUAGAGGGGUCUCUGGGGCACACCCUCCAUCCCAUUUCUGUGAGGUGGAUGGUCUUUUGAACAAUUACGGAACUUUUGUUCAAAUCUGCUGCAUUGUGACAACUAUUGGUCAUCCUAUCGGUCGCCUUUCUUUGUAUAAAUAAUCAAUUCUAAUCAGUAAUUGCAUCUGGGCAACAGUUCAACUCUGCUGUCAUCUUUUGGCUCCCAGCACCAUGACUCUGAGGGCAGCAAUACACUUUACUAGAAUGGUACUCAAGGCCAGACAGCAUUUAUUCUUAUGUUUAACCAUCUGGUUAACACACUGUAGCUUCAACUCCAUCUCCACUGUACGGAAAAGAAAGGCGGAUACAAGGCAGAAUCUUUAGAAUGAUGACUCCAUGAGCUCCCAGAGAGGGGGUACCGACCACCUCUCUUAGUUUUCAUAACUGCAACCUGGGAUUAUUGAAGAGACUUCUUGGGCAAGUUUCUUCUCUCUCUUUCUCUCUCUCCCCUUCUCUCUCUCUCUCUCUCUCUCUCUCUCUCUCUCUCUCUCCCUCCCUCCCUCCCUCUCUCCUUCCUUCCCUCCCUCCCUCUCUCCUUCCUUGCUAAGGUGUUUGAUCCUGAACAGAAGGGAGGACUGAGGGAUAAAAAAUAGCUGUUAAGUCAAAGACAAACCCAAAAACUUCUGCAAAGAGCUUUCAAACCCAAGGCCUUAUCUGCACGAAUGAGUAUCAGGUGGGAAGGGAACUCGGCCAAGGCAAACAGGUGUGGAUGCAAAGCCAGCAUUAGCUAGGGCAAUGGUGAACCUCACUCCUUUGCUCUGAGCCUUGACACUGCGAUGCAGAUCAGCCUACUAAUGGACUUGUAUGCUAGACUUACCUGUGGGGUUGCUGUCUAAUUUGGCUUUAUACUUUCUUAAAUUUUAUGGUUAAAGGUCCAAUCAUCUGAUUUAUUGAGUAAGUUGUUCUCGGGCACCUUAGCUAGAUUUAACCUUAUGUUACACAACUCUAAUCCCAACUACUGCUAAGGUUGUGGCAGGACAGUAAAUUUAAGGCCACCUGAGCUACAAAGUUAAUCCAAGGUCAGCAAGAAAAACUUAGUGAGACCCGCUCUCCAAAAAUGCUAAGGAAGGCUUGGUGGUGGACAACCCGCCUAGCAUGCACACGGCCAAGUAGCAGAGAAAAGAAAAAUAAGCUUAAUGAAAAUGAAGGCUGUCCGUUCUUAACUGUCACCCAAGGUUUGGGCAGGAGCACUGGGGCGCCACGGACUACAGAACCACAGGAGCUGGUUUAAAUCAGAUAUGACUGCCACAUGCUUUUAGGGGUAUUUUAAGUGUGACAAUGUCCCCUCUUCCACACACCCCCUCACUUUCUCCCUCCUCCUUUCCUCUCUUCCUCCCUCUCAAGAUGGAGAAGAAAAACAAUUCCAUUGUUUCAUUAGAGAAAAAAUGGCAUUUGCUCCUGGUACAAAAGUUUGUGGGAGAUGUGCUGUGAAGGAAUAAGAACCCUAUUAAAAUAUUUAUAAAUCGAAACAACCUCAGAAGCCACAUGCUCUAUUAGGCCUCUCAGUGUUCUGUUCUGAAAGCCAGAUAAAUCAUCAUUUGGAGAGCAAGGAUGAAAAAUCCAAACAGACACAGAGCUCCGAGGGCUUCAGUAAGAGGAGGCCAUCCAGGCAGGGCCAUGGAUAGCCCAGCAAGCCUUGGCACUUCUGACUCAUCAAAAAAGGAGAAAGAGGGGGAAAUGUGUGUGCUUUGUGCCUCCAAAGAGCAUCAGGAGGCAACUAGUUGUCUGCUAUGGGCUUCUGAUCCAUUACAGGGGAGUGGAGGUUGUCUGAACUGAGCCCAGUUGGGUGGACAUGGCACAGGGUACGGAGCUCCCACCUAGACCAGAUACCACUCUGGCCCCAUGUUGGCUCCUUUCAACCACCCCAUGGGGUUUGGAGGGAGACUAGAAUUUCUGGGUGUCCAGAAGCCUGCAUGCUCACAGGUAUAGCUGUUGUUGCCUAUUCACACAAUCAGUUAGUCCACUGCUCCUGAUACUGAGGCAAUGCCAACUCCAUCCUUUAGUGCAAACACGAGGCCCAUCCUGUGCAGAUCCCAAGAACAGACUGCUUGCUUCUUAAUGGCAGGGAGCCAGAGGCUGAGCAUCAUACCAUACCAUACAGUGCCUACACAUGUAUCAUACAGUAUGCACGUGCACACACACAUGCACUCACGCACGCAUGCACACGGAGCCAAUGGCCUCUACAGUCUUAGGCAAAUGUCGUCGUCUUCUUCUUCUUCUUCCUCCUCCUCCUCCUCCUUCUCCUUCUGAUUUGGACACAUGGGUGGUAUAGGUCACUUUAUUCUGCUUGGAGUCAGUACUAGGACCUUCUUGUCUCCUUAGCAGCAGCAGCCAAGCUCUGCUUAGGGCUUCAUACCACUUCAGUGUCACAGACUAGUGUCCACUGCUGCAUUCUCUACCCAGCAGAGUCCCUGCUUAUGUGUUUGAAAGUUCUAUCUCCCUUAGAGGCCAUCUAAGGUUUGAUUCUCUUACAGGAAUACGUCAGACUUUCAGAGAACUAUAAGUUACUGUCUAGUAUAUUUGCAGCCUAGAUGAUCAGAUCUCUAUUUGGUCCGAUCUUUGGCAAGAAUGCUCAUCCAAGAUCCUGAGGCAUUUGCUAACCAGAAGGUGACAGUGGAAGGCCAUCCCAUUUUUCUGUUUCUUCUGAGUUGUGGGUGUUUAGACUUACUGAGAAAGAUGUCAGCUGGGGAGCCAUCAUGGGACCCAAACUGGAACCAACAUAGUGACUCAGCAACUCCACUAGUGAGAAAUGAGGUCAGUGAACUUAAGGGAUGUAUGUCCCGACAGGCUCAUCCCAGCAAAGAUAUGGAGGCAAAGAUGUGGAAGUAACUGAAUGCCCAUAAAGGAAACAGAUGGAUAAAAAUUGGUGUGUACUCACUGUGGGAUAUUACUCAGCCUUGAAAAAGGAGAAAAGUCCAGACAUUUUCAAGAACAUAGAUAAGCCUAGAAGGCACAAUGUGACUGGAAGAUGGCCAGACAUGCUGGUUUGAACAAGAAUGUCACCCAGAGUUUCUGGCAUUUGGAUACUUGGUCCCCAGUUGGUGGCACUGUUUGGGGGGAAGUUUCAGAGGUGUGACCUCAUUGGAAGAAGUGUGACAUUGGAGGAAGGCUUUGAGAAUUAUAAGACUGGAACCAUUUCGAAUUAGCUCUCUCUUCUCUUUUUGCUUGGGGAGAUGUGAGGCUUUAGCUAUUCCUUCUGCUGUGACUGUUGUCUGUUGCCACAAUUCCCUGCCAUGAUGGGAACCAUAACCCAAAUAAAUCCUUUCUUCUAUAAGCUGCCUUGUUCAUGGUGUUUUAGCCCAGCAACAGAAAAGCAACAGAUACAGAAGUGGAAUCUAAAGCCAGCUGAGUGCACAGCAACAAUCACAGAAGGGCGAUUGUCAGGGCCUGGGAUGGUGACAGAGGUCAAAGGUUACUGCAGCUCUCCUACAUGCCGGGGACUAUACAGUCAGGAGUAAUGUUACAUGCUUAAAACUGGCUCAGAGAAUCAAUCUCAAGUGAUCUCAAGACAAGAAUAAGAAGCAGGUGAGGGGAUGCACGUGUGAAUUAAUGUUGUGACAGUCAUUUUAUCUCUCAUAUAUGUAACUGAGCAUAUAGCUGUGCUUGCUGUGUGCUCACUAAGACCCAUAUAAAAGCUACACUUAGUGCCAGUGGGCAGGGGAGAGGAGAUGAGAGACAGGAGCAUCCUGGAACUUGCUGGCCCGUCAGUCUAGCUGAGUAUAUAUAUAUAUAUAUAUAUAUAUAUAUAUAUAUAUAUAUAUAUAUACAUAUAUAUGUAUAUAUAUAUAUACAUAGUGAAGAAUAACUGAAGAAGACUGAUGCUAGCCUCUGGGUCUAUGUGGACAUACACUACCACAUACAAAUCACACCAAAUGACUGAAGCAUGUAUAAUUUUAUUGGCUAUCUAUAUCUCUGUAAGCCUGGAACAAGGAAGGAAGUCCAUAGUCCUGGGACCCAGGGCCCUGUAACCUCUUCUUUGUAGGUGCUUAGCUUACCGAUGCCUUGUGCCCAUCCUUUCUUGAGGAGAGAGGGCAUUCUUCCCCUCUUGCUGUCUCGCUUCCAAUGCCUCUUGCUGACUGGAUACCCUGGGGGCAGCUGCAGGUAACCUUCACAGAAGAGCUGAUUGCUGCUGGAAUAACUGUCCAGCUCAGUGCCCUGCCCCCCAUGAUGACCUAAGUCAUGCCACCGGGGGCUGGUGCUUUAAUAGAACCUCUGUGCAUGGUCAGCAGCAGCUCCUGGCACAUCCUCCAGGGACUCAGCUCUUGGAGGGAUCAAUGCUAUCCACUGGCUAGGUGACUGCCCUGCAGGUGACCAGGAACAGCAUGGGCUUAGACAUGGCCCCAUCCUUCUCUCAGAGUGGUUGGCUGUAUCUGGAGUGAGACUCUGAGUGCUUUGUCUCCUGUGACGUCAACAGCCCUGGAAUAACCAGUUGCUGUCCCCUUACCCCAGGCCUGUUGCUCUUAUGUGUGAUGGUGUGGGUCUCUAUGGAUGGUGAGUAGGAAGCCAGACCUGGUGAGGCACUGUUUGCCAGACACAAAUGGGAGGCUGUGAGCAGGUCCUUAGGGUAAGUUCUGAGGCAGUGGGAGACCCUGGAGGGAGGCUUGGGCUGAACAGCAGUUAGUAGAGGGAGCGUAGGCAGUAGGUCCAGGGAGGUUAAGUCCUGGGCCACAUACAGAGCCUGACACUGAGGUGGCUAGGUCAGAGUCUCAGUCCCAGCCUCCAUUGUGCAGGCAACGGAGGGAAUUGCUGCAUGUUGGUUGGGCUGUGAGGCUGGUCGAUCUCCAGGUUAGGCUGCUUUGAUGUCUGGCUAUGACUUGAGUCAUUACCAAGUAGUGCUUCACUCAGAAGAUGGUGGGUCUCUGGAACACUUUGUCAGACUUGUCCUGAGGCCCUUUUCUGUCCUUCUCCACAUGAGAGGCUUCUGCCUUGGUACUUUUGUGCAUCUGGCCACCUAAGUUGGGUGUACCCGGCCAGGGACUGGAGCUACUGAAGGGGGACCCCGCUGCUACUCCAUUUGUCUUUGCUGUGGCCAGCAUGGCACAUCUCUGAACCAACAGUGGUCUGAUGGUCUUGUGGUCCCUUGUUCUUCAGAUAGGUCAUCUUUAAAAAUGGUAGAAAGUAACAAAAGACGUCAGAUCUGUGAGGUACUGAGGACCCACCCACUGCCACUGGACUCUCCACUUUGGUGUCACCUUAGAGCAAGCCAUCUGGAAUGUUCUAGAAAGCCUCUGCCAGCCUGACUUCUGGAAAUGAUGAUUUGAAUUGUUUGGGGGUGGUGCAGCCUACUGGUCUUUUCCUAACGAUUCUGAUGGGUCACUGGGAGGAGGACUCACUGUCUCAGCCUUAAGGAGCCCAGGUAUAUGGGAGGGGAGUAGCCAGCGGUAGAGGAGCUGCCUGGAGCUGCAGGCAGUAGUUACACUCUGUCCCCAUCUGGUGACUCACUUACAGUCAGGGUUUCCUUUUGCUGUGAUAAAACAGAGCAAUGUGGAGAGGAAACAUUAUUGUUUCAGCGUACAGCGUACAGCUUGUAGUCUAUUAUCCAGGGAUGGCAGGCCAGGAGCUCAAGGCAGGAACCUCGAGCCAGGAAAUGGUACCACAGGCCACAGAAUCAUGCGGAUCACUGGCUGGCUCCCCAUGGCUUGCUCAGUGCGUUCCCUUACAAUAUCUAGGACCACCAGCCCAGGGGUGGAGCCACACACAGUGAGCUGGGCCCUCCCACAUCAAUCAUCAAUUACUAAAUGCUCCACAGGUUUACUUUCAGGCCAACCUGGUGGGGGGAUACUCUCUAUUGAGUUUCCCUUUUUCCAAAUGACUUUAGUUUGCAUCAAGUUGAUAUAAUAGAAAAAAGUUUUUUUGGGAGGGCCUUUGGAGUAACUUAAAAUAAUACUUACGUCCUUGUUGGAGAGAUGGCUCAGUGGUUGAGUGCUUGUGAUAUUCUUGCAGAAGACCCUCAUUCAGUUUACAGCCUCUAUCCACAUGGGGACUCCCGAGGUCCUGCUCUAUCUCGACUGCUGUGAGACAGCAGGAGGGUGCCACUGUGCCACGCAUUUAAGUUCUUGAAGCAUUUGCAAUCUUUGCUAAUUGCAUAAUGAUUUUUUUUGAGACAGGGUUUCUCUGUGUAGUUCUAGCUGUCCGAGAAUUCGCUCUGUAGACCAGGCUGGCUUUGCACUCAGAGAUCUGCCUGCCUCUGCCUCCUGAGUGCUGGGAUUAAAGGCGUGUGCACCACUGUCUGGCAGCACAUAAUGAUAUUUUUGCUUCCAGAGUGGUUUGCAGCAUGUUAGUACUUUGGUCAGUCUUGGGGGGUGGGGCAUAGCAGCUCCAAUCCUAUCCUUUAGAGACCUCUUUGCCUGACUUCCCAUGGAUGGUUGUUGGGAACCAGAGUCUACUUCCCCAGGGCAGAACUCUUAGUGUCUUGGGAACUUUGUGGCCCCUGGGCUGCAUGGUGACAGCUGGUGGGCUGACCUCCCAUAUGGGAGGCUCUUCCUGAGACAGCCUAAGACUACAGAGAAGCUCAGUGUUUCUAGCAGAGGAAGCUGGAGGUAUGGCUACCUUCUUCCCAGGAGGCGUUCUGUGAGUCCAGGCUUCUGGCCUGUCUUGGUUGGAGAGCCCUUGUAUAGUGAGGCCCUUGUUCAUGUGCAAGGACAGUUGACAAAGGACCUGCAAGCAGCGUCCCAAUGCUGGAGAGGGCAGGUGUACUCCCAGUUCUGCACUCGAUCUGUAAGGAGGGAAAGAUCACAAGGAACGAUGACCACUCAUGGGGAAGGGCCAGGGGCUUCCUGGUAGCAGAAUGGCGGUGGGGGCCUUACCCCUUACAUAGCAGUCUCCUUAUAUAGUAGUCUCCUUACAUAGUAGUUUCCUUACAUAGUAGUCUCCUUACAUAGCCAUGACUGGCUUAGAUUUUCCUAAGUCUGAGUUUGGGAGUCAGUUGCAUACAUUAUGAAUCCCCACUAAAAAGAAAAAAAAAUCCCCUCCAUUGAGAUUUAGAACACUUACUAUAUUUUCUUAAGGUAUAGAAGUCAGUAGGGCUUAUCAUCUUCAGAGAUUAUUACAGCUCUCACAGCUCAAAAUUUAGAAAAUUGUUUUUGUGCAUAGUGUGUCUGUUCAUUUUGUGUACAGGUACAUGCAUGUAUGCAUGCGUGUGUGUGUGUGUGUGUGUGUGUGUGUGUGUGUGUGUGUGUGUGUGAGACGUGUGUAUGUGUGAGAGGCAAACUCUGUGUUCUUCCCCUGGCCUCCACGUUUUCCCCCCAAAUAACAGAGCCUCUCAUUGGCUCAGAGUUCACUGAUUAGGCUGGGAUGGCCAGCAAGCCCAGGGACCUGCUUGCCUUGGCUUCCACAGAAUUGGGGUUACAAGCACAUGCCACCACACCAGGGCCUUUCAGUAUGGGCUCUGGGGAUAGAACUCGGGUCCCCAAGCUUGCACUUUAUCGACUGAGCCAUCUCUAAGUCCUUGAUAGAUUACCAUUAGCUGUGUGACUCCUCUUCCUAUGACCCCGAUCCUGGGCAAGCACGCAUCUAUUCUGUCCACCCCAGUCCCUUGCUGUGCACAAAUCUGAAACGGAACAGCAUCUUGUGUGGGCUCCUGUUUGCCUCCUUUCAAGUGGUGUGGUACACUCUAGGUGUACCUUUCAUUGUAACAUUGGUUUCUGCAAUUGAGCUGUGUCUUGCUGCACAGAUAGGCCAUCUUGUAUCCACACCUCCACCAAGAUCACCUGAGUUUAUGUUGGUGGCAGUUUUGACUAUUGUACAGGGUGCCACUGUGACCUUUGUGUUCGGGUUUCAAUGUGAAUAUGAAUUCAGUUCUUAAGACAGUUUCUAGGUGGCUUUUCAGGAGCCAGCUGAAAAGUCAGAGGGAGUUUGAAAGAUGCUAGCAGGAAGAGGGCUUGCCAGAAGGAUGUGGGCACUGGUCCCUCGGGUGGCCCUAGAUCAGGCAGCAAUUUGCAGUUACUACACACUACAUAGCUUGCCUGUCAGGAGGGCUGACCCAGCAGUGGUCUGUGUUCUUUCUACAGUUCUUGAAAACUUCAUGUAUAGUAAAUGUUACCCUGAAAACAUAUGGACACAUGUGUGGGAACAUAGUCUGCAAACUGUCCUGAAGUCACCCCUCCUGUUCUCUAAUCUUCAGGAUAGGCCUAGCACAGUCACGUAUUGAAGAUGGAGUUAUGAGUCUGAGAGGGAGUUGACCUGUCCAGGUGUAGGAGGCAGAUCUGGGUGAGAGGAGCACAGCUCCGGCUUAGCUUUCCUUGGCUACCCUAGACUGGGGUCUCUUGCCUAGGCUCCUAGGGAUCUUGCUUGUGCUCAUGCCCCCUGGACCUCAGUUUCCCUGUUACUGAGAGAAGAUAGCACUGGCUCAGAGCAUCACUCUGAGAUUGCAUGUGAGCUUGGAGAAUCCUUAGAGAUACCCCACACUGCAGGCACCCUUACACAGUCCACUUCCAUCCACAUGCUAGUCACCCAGAAGCCCUGGGAGAUCUUCUAGCUUAUGGACAGGCUGUCCAGGGUUACAUUUCCAGAGCUGCCAGUCCUGGCUAAGGACAGGUGAGCGUGGAUGUAGAAGCCCCUCAGCUUCUUCUCCCUUUGGGCAACUAGUCAGAGACUUCGUGUCUUCCUUUGUUGACCUCCUAUGAUCACUUUCUCCAGUUCUCAAGUCCUGGUCAGGCCAUUACCCCAGAACGGCUGUUCUUUAUAAAUGCCUUUCUUUGUUCCUAGGCAGCAGAUUUUGGGGUGCUUGUCCCCAAAAUUUUUGUUGUUCUCUGUCUUCUGCCUGAACCAGUGUGCUUUCCAACUAUGGUAUCUCUGAGUCAGGUAACUUUGCUAAUCUGUGCAGCACACGCCUAAUGCUUGGAACUAAUCAUCGCUGUGUGCAAACAGGUGUGAGCUGGACCCUGCCAGCAGGUAUCAUUAUGUCUUUUCUCUGCUAAGAGCUGCAGGAGAGAAGCCCAGAGACUUUGGUGGCUGAGCAUGAUGAAGAAGGACAGCUGAUUAUCUGAGAACUUCUACCACGGGACCUUUGAUGAAUGUAUGUGGUCCUCCAGGGCAGAGGCUCUUGGGCUCGGUAUCCCAUGUGUCAGCGGGGCCUGAGUUUCCCUCCAUGAAAAUGAAAUCCCUGAACUUGGUCAUUUACCCGGAGUUCUGACAUGGGUCUCUGAGCUGGAGUCUGCUGCCGGGUUGGUGACCAGUGGCAUAUGGAUUUGGAGACAGAAGUAGGGACUGUGAUGGUAUCUAGAGGAGAGAGGUUUGCAGAGGGGCAGACACUGGCCAUUGGUAGCUGGCUAUUGACUUUCUGUAGUGUGGGAAGCUCCUUGUCUUCUGGUCAGGUUUUGUUCCCAUGUGUGAACUUGCAGAGCAAGAGACUUUCACAGGCUGCAUUGGAAAGGGGUAGUCUUCUUGGAUCUUAGGCUUGGAAGAUCCAUAGGUUUUGUUCCCCCAGAGAAGGGACUUACAUGUCUCCCACAUUCUAGCUCCCUUUCCCUGUCCUGUAGGCACAGGAAAAGUUUAAAGAUGCUUGCAAAGGGCUUGAAGAAUUGCAGUGCUGAUACCAACACCUUGCCAGUGAAGGGGUCCCUGCAGAUGAUCACCCCAUUUUUUUACAUGCUGUUGGCCUGGAUGGCCAAGACAAGGGGCUACUUUGCUGCUUGGGCCAAAGGGGCAUGUGUCUUUCUUUAUGUUGGCCACUUGGGCCUUGGCUGGCAGAAAUGGGCUGUGGUCAUGGUAUGCUCAUUCCAACUAGGAGAAAUCCAAGGCCCCAGCUCUGCUGGGGCUUCAGUAGCUAGCUGUCCAUAUGACAGCUCUUCUUUAUUUGGUAAAGAGAACAGAGCUCUUAAGACAUGACCACUAGGGCAUCUUAUGGCUUUUGGUGAACCUCACCUCCCAUUUCUUUCCAGGAACACUGAUCUGGAGUCAAGAUAAGGACUGGCCUGUUCACCUUGGUCUCCAGAAUCUGGGCAACCAUUCUCAGCUUCAGUGUUUGUUCUCAGCAACGAGGAGGGCAGGCGCCUUUGUACUCCACAUUUGCCUGUGACUUGAGUCCCACAUGGUGGUGCGGAUACUUGGGAUAAUAAGGACAGAUAAAAGCCAUGUGUGUUGGUGCACACGUUUAAUCUCAUCACUUGGGAGGUAGAGACGGGUGGGUUUCUGCAAGUUGGAGGCCAGCCUGGUCUACGUAGUGAGUUCUCAGAUAGCUAGAGCUACAUAGUAAGACCCUGUCUUAGAAAAACAAACAAACAAGCAAACUAAAGCUUUGACAAGGGGAGAGAGUCAGACAAAGCUGACAGCCUUCCCCAUCUACUGAUUAUGUCUCCACGUACCUGCCUUUGACAGACACUGUCUCACCCAGCAGUGUCUUCUUGACCUUCUGCCUCAGUCCGGUGCUUCAUAUAGCAGGAGGUAGAACAAGCUGAGACUCAGAUGUUUAUAACACACCGUGGAUCUGAGAGCCGGUCCCAAGGACCCUCAAGUUGAAAAUAAAGUAACUUUGGACUUUCAUUUUCUGGACUGUCCAUUUUCAUAAAGACUUGAAGGUUAAUGACAUGAAUUGAAGAAGAAUGGGUUAACCAAAUGGAGUCCCCCCCCAUGGUAGGCUGUGAUCUAUGAAGUUUUAUGACCCUGUAGCAAGCCUUGGCAAAUGCCAGGAAAAUGAAGAAAGGGUGACAGGCAGAGAGGCAGCUCAGCAGUCAGGUAGGCUUGAUGCUCUUGCAGAGGAUCUGGGUUGGGGUCCUGCCUCUACUUUAUAUCCUAAGGCUCUUCUUUGUGGCACUGAUGGCUGCUCUUAGAGAUGCCCUGCUUGGUCCACGUGUUCUGGCUGCGAACUCAAUGGAUUAAGUGCUGUGUGCUUGGCCUUCUUCGAAGGUCUUGCUUCCUGUCUCUGGACAACUGCUGUCUGCACACAGCUCAGAAAACAGGUCCAGCAGGUUGUACGUCCCAAUCAGCAAGGAUUGGACAGGCUUAGGUCUUCCAUUGCCGUCUUCUGUGGUGGCAGCAAGGGCUCUGGCUGCCGUGGAGUCCUGCUACUCUAGGGAGGUUGGGCCCUGCUCAGGUGUGGCACUAGCAUCAGAUUUUCUCUUUAGGGUCUCUCUACCUUUAGAGCAGCCCAUUGAUGUAAGUAUGCCUGCCAUGCCGUCAAAGAGGAAAUCUUACCUCUGUUCACAACUAAGUACACAAAGGGCAGGAACUCCACUUGGCAAAUGGCCCUGUUUACUCGGGGCUGCCUUCUCUGAACUCAGACAAAGUUCAGGUGUAGUUGCUUGCAGAUAUGGGGGCUUUGAGUCCCUAGAGCACUUCAUGGCCUGCAUACCUCAGCUUUGAUCUACACCAGCAGGGCUUCACAGACAGCAGCAACUCAGUUGAGAACUGAAGGCCUCCUGGUACAAGCUAUCUCCUCCUGGGCUUAAGCCUCAGGACUACUCUGCCCCUUUUCUUAUCAAACAAAAAGAAUUUAUUGGAGGUUGUGACCAAGCUAUCCACAGGGAGAUCUUGGACUUUACCUUACAUGCAAGUAUGCUUCUGUCAGGUUCAGGCAGGCCCAGAUAGGGCUGACAACAGGGCAGGUGAUACAGUGAAGUGCUUCUACCUGGAGGUGCGUUUGUUCCUUACGACGACUGGUAAUGAAGUACUGUGUUAGUCAGUUUUCCAUCCAUGUGCCAGAAAGCUGAGAAGAAAGCUUUAAAGAUGGCAAACCUGGCCUUGGCUCAUGGUUUCAGAUGUUUCUGUUCAUGGAGCCUUUGGCAGCAUAGUGCCAAGUGUGCAAGGGAAAGGAAGUGGCUUUCCCUGCGGCAGAGAGACACAGAAAGCAUGAAAACUAGCCAGUACAGUCAGGUUCCCCGUGAUGACACUUUCUCCCAGGUUCCACCUCCUAAAGGCCCCACGUCUUGGCAACCCUGUUAAUUGGGACACAGCUUAAAUUGCAUCGCCAUUCGAGGACAUUUCAGAUUUGAAGUCUCUUAGUACUUGUAUUACGCCAUUCAUUUCUUCUGCGCAUGGCUGGCUAACAGUGCUCACAGUUUAUUGUGCACAGCAUAGCACUUCUUGUGGUGUUUUCAUACUUGCACUAUUCUUGCGUGCGGUGCACUUUGUGCAAACUGACUCCUCUCAUCCUCUCAUGCCCUUCCUUCUCCCAGGUAACCAGCUCCCUUUGAACUCUAAUGUCCUAGUAUGCAUAUAUGUACAUCUACAUAUCUAUGUAAUAUGUAUGUAUAUACAGACAUGCAAUAGUGAAACUCUAAAAUCUAACAGGAAGCUCACAGCCUCAGAAUGGCUAUUCUAACUGCAUUAUUAGAACAUCUCAAUUGUCCAUUGAGAUGUAUAGAUUUUGGGUUAAUUUCACUGCAUGAAUUUUUAUUAGCAAGCUCUUUAUAAUAAAGUUUUAAUAAAUUUGAAAAAGUCCUUCUUUAUGUCUGAACAGAGCUACAUUACCCACCUAGGUCACACUUUCAUUCUCCGGGUGUUGUUGCUGGGCCCCUAGGCUGAUUCUGCACUAGGCUGCUCUAACUAAUACCAUAAUCAACACGGAAAAGAGGUCUCUGUGGUGUGCUCACCUGGAGUCCUUCAGGUAGGUACUGCGUGCACGGGAGGGCUGGGCCACAUGACAGUUCUCUAGCUGGUGUUUUUUGAAAGAUCCCCGUCCUGAUUUCCAUAGAAACUGCAUUACUUUACCUUCCCACCCGCGGUGAAUAGGCUUCCUCUUCUCCCACAUCCCAUCAGCCCUCGCUGUUUGUUUUCUCCCUGAUAGCCAAUCUGUGCGGAGUCAGAUGGAAUCACUGUAAUUCUGGUUUGCAUUUCCUUGACAGUUAAGGAUGCUGAACACUUCCUCAUCUUGGGCAGUUACUGCCCAUCCCUACUUUUUCUAUUGAGAGCUAUCUGCUCAGUUUCUUUGUGCACUUGCUAGCUGGAUGUUUGGUCUUUGUUUUUUGUUCUCUUUUAGGAGUUCUUCGUAGAUUCCACAGCAGCGAUCCCCUAGGCAUUCAUGUGUGUGGGUCUGUUUGGAAACAUGCUGUGUUGUACACCCAAACUCUCGGGGAGAAAAAGGCAACUUUUCUUCCUUGGCACACGACUGCUCCCAUCUGGACCCUGGGAUCUCACAGCCCCCGGUCCUCAGACGCAGCUAGAUGCCCUCCCUUUCUGGAUUAAGCAGCUGUCAUUUUCUAGUUGUUUGAACAUAGGAAGUUCACCAACACAGACUCAUGUCUCAGAACAGAGGUUUCUGGGUGCUCCAUUCAGCGUGGAGAUUCAUAGAAGGGUGGCCUUAUGUGUAGGAAGGAACACAGCCGCUGUGGGUACACAUGUCUAACUCUACACCUCUUUGUGCGUCCUGGGAAUAUGUUCCACUGGGAUUGACAGCAAGGUAGUGGACCUCGGCAGGGACUUCAGUCACAGGCACUCAGGGAGUAUCAGCUUCUCAAAACUUGUCUCUGGGAGGUAUUUUCCUGCCCCUUCCCACCAGCUCUGCUUUAAAAACAUCUUUCUGCGUGCUUUCUUACAGAUCUAGUAUGCUGGCUUCUGUAUUAACUUUGGAGUUUUGCUUGUCCAGUCUUGAUUCAUUUGGGACCAGUUCCUGACUUUGUAGACUUGGCUCUUUUUCACUUUCAGGGUUAGUGACAACCUCUUUCCUCUCUGCUCCUUGCCUUGUUAAAGAAAGGAAGGAAGCCAGUCCGUUGCAGAUGUCUUAGAGCAGUGGUUUUCAACCUGUGAGUCGUGACCCCUCUGAGGAUUAUUGAAUGACCCUUUUGCAUGUUUGCCUAAGACCAUUAGAAAACACAGAUAGUGAUAUCACAGCUCAUAACAGUAGCAAAAUUACAGUUAUGAAGUAGCAAUGGGAAUAAUUUAUGGCUGGGGUCACCAUAUGAGGAACUAUAAUAAAGGGUUGCAGCACUAAGAAGGUUGAGAACUGUCUUAGAGCUAGCAUUACUUCAUGGGCCAUUGCCUACACCCUGUGACUGUAUGUUGAGCUCUUUAUGCCAAGAUGAGAUGUGUGCCUGCUUAGAUGCAGCUGAUGCCUCUGUUUUAGGCACUUCUGUUUUGUCAGAUGAGGUAUCCAAGGCUGGAGUGGGGCAGGUGGCUGCAAAAGUCUACAGUUGUUUCAUUUUGGUCCCCAUGAAGCUUGUGUGUUGAUAUUUGCUUUGUUGCUCCCUGUGGCUUGCACUGUCCCAGGAACAUCAACUGACUGUGAGGAUGAGGAGGAAGCUGAGCAUCCCUGUUUCGCUGGCUUCAGGUGAUGGAAAUGGACAGAAAUGCACCCUUGGGCUGCAUCUUCCCCUGUGACACACCGAUUCCCUACAGUUUGACGUACAUUGUUAUUUUUCUUCUCUGAGUGCUUCACUUUGAUGGUUGGUCAGUGAGCUCUGAGCACAGCACAUGGAUCCCUGUCCUCAUCAUGCUCUGUCUAGGGGGAAGAUUAUGGCCAGGCCAGAGACAACCCCACCUCAUUCCAUUCCCUACCUCGAUAUUGAAAUCAUCUGUAACAAAACAUGGAUGUCAUGGUACCUGGAGCCUUCCCUGGCUCCUUUGCUGUGUGUAUGGGAACCCCUCAGAGCAGCAGCUUUGCUCUGCUGGCUGACGUGGCAUACAGGAAACUGCCAAGGUCUACUGACACUGUUACCUUCUACAGCAAUCUACUGAAUCUGUGUGUCUAUCUGCUAUGGUGCAGUGGGGCAGGUGCCUAUAAAAGUCUACAGUAGUUGCUUCAUUUUGGUCCCCACAAAGCUCAUGAGUGCAUCAACGGGUAGGCAGAAUACACCCAGUGCUGCCCUGUGAUUCUCCACAGUUGAUGUCCUGAGAUAGCCCAGAAAGAAACUCCCCUUGAAGACUGGCCAACACUGACAUGGAGGAGGGUAACACUCAAAGCUGCUGGAAGAACAGGCACAAGAAGAAAGAUUUGAGCCCUGGGCCUGGGUUCUUGUGUAUGUUCAGUAGCCCAAGCAAAGGCCAGACCACUAACCAGGGAGGGCUGAGGACUGUAGGCCAGGGCCACCAAGACUGGAGGUGCCUCUGUCCAUGGGAUUUCCUUACACGUAGAAACAUUUCAGAGUGUCUGAAGCCAAGGAGUGCCCCCUCCUUCCAGUCAAAUAUGAGGGCUUCUCGGGCUUCUGGGGAAGGUGGGAGGGGAUGAAUGCGAGCCGUUCACAGUUGUUCUGUUUGAGUUUUGCACAUAGGUUCUGCUUCGUGCACAUGUAGGUUGGGAGUCUACCUGGCUCGUCUCUUUCUCUCAAGGGCAAUGUUAAGUGAGUCUCAUUCAAGGCUAGUUCUCAUUUGGUCCUUGGUGACUGUGUUCCCUGGGGGCCUGAGAAGGCAGAGGCCCCAGGGUACCUGGGAUGGGGAGAUCCCUGUCAGCACUGAAUGCACAAUCAGGAUAGGGUUCAGCCGUGCUGGGCAGCAUGGUCACUGGAGACUUCCCCAGGCUGCUGCUGUGCCCUCUCCUGCUUCACUGUUCCUGUAGCAUUGUCUCAGGGAGCAAAGAAAGUGCAUAGACCUGGCGGUUCCCAGGAGAAGCUUUUCUGCAGUGGCCAUGGGGGCUGGGAGUUUCCCCCUGGUUAUUUCCUUAAAGCUCUGGGCCUGCAGGGCCGUGGCUCUCCUUGGGCCCAGACACUGUUAAUGAUUAACCUGUGAGCCUCUGGUGCUCAGUGUCCCCUCUCUCCUUGCACAUGAGCAGCCCUUGUUCUUGAACCUGAGCCAAGGAGUGCUGCAGAAGGGCACAGUCUGUUCAGGGGAGGAUGGAAGCCCAGGCCAUCCUGUAGAACUCUAGGAGGAGAUCAGAGGCUGGUCCUCAACACAGCUCCACCUUUGAAUUUAGCACUCUGGAAACCCAGAGACACUGCCAACCUCCAAGAGUCUGUGCAGAGGACUCUGGGACCCUUGCUCUCAGCUGCGUGAGGAUGCGUGUGUCCUGCCUGAGUGGCUUCCCUGUGGAAACAUCGCCUCUCUGCAUUGCCACCCUCUGUCCCCUCUGCUUACCUUCAGGGGGCGGGGCCUGCUAACAGGACAGUCUGGUUUGGGGACACCCUAUACUUGGAACCCACUCUAGCUGGAAUCAGGGUUCUUCUAUGGCUGGUAGCCUUUGCUUUUCUUCCCUUUCCCAUGGAGGAUUUCCCUGAGUUCAGCCAAGCCUGGGAGACCUUGGUGUUUCCACUUUCAUUGGCUGAGGCCACAUGCUAUGUGGCCUAUAAAAUCAGAGAUGUGAUGAGGGACCUUUUAGCAUCUCCCCCAGCUGCCUCUGCCUACCUGUUAGGCCUUUUGGCUGGGUGACAGAGCUCCUGGUGACUACUGCCCUGGCUAAGGGGGAGGUGAUGAGUUCCCUGAGGAAGUUGUUCCUUUGUUGUUCACAUUCAGCCUUCCUCACUGCUCACUCGGGGUGUGUGUGAGGGGUGGGUGAGGGCCAGUAGCAGGCUGAGGGUGUAACUAAAGGCAGGUAAGUUACAUCAACAAGUAUCACAGUGGCUCUGGGGCUGGGCCGGGCCGGGCUACCCCUUUCUGCUACCCCCUCACACAUUUUCCCCCUUCUAUUCUCCUCUGAUAAAGGCAAGUUCCUCCUCCCACCCAAAUCACCUCACCUUGACUGAACCACCAACCAAAGAUCACACAUGGGCUAGGCCUAGGCCUACCCGCUCAGACGUAAUACACGAGCAGCUUGGUCUUCAUAUGGGUCCCCCAACAACUGGAGUGGGGCUGACCCCAAAUCUGUUGCUGGCCUGUAGAUCCCAUCCCCCUAUCAGCUUCCUUUUAAAGAGUACUUCCUUCUAGAGAGCCCUUCCCCAGCUGCUAGUGUCUCUCAGCUUAGUUGGAAUUUCCCUGGUGGUCUUCAUCAAAACCAGUGCCACGGGUGUACAGAGGUUUCCCAGCAUGAGUUUUUAUGAGGCUCCACAUCUCUGCUUGGUACUGACGAGCACACCCAGGGCAGACUGACACGUGGUGGGUACCUGAUUGCCCUUCACUCCUUCUUUCGAAGACAACCUUACUAAAGGGAUUGGUUCUAGAUGUAGACUGAGAAGGCACAUUCCGGGAGGUAAGAGAGGCAUGAUGUCACAUCUUCCCGUGUAGUCGCUCUCUUCUGGACGGUGGUCUGACCUGUCAGCGUAGCAUGAUUAAGCAGAGGUUGUGAUGUGGUAUCAAUGCCCCAUCAGACCAGUACUGUGAGGACCAGUUGCUCCUUUGAGCCUGUGAGAGCAAUUGCCGAUGGUCUAUCUGCAGCCAUUCUCAGGGCUGCUCAGCUGGUCUAUUCAGCCAUCUUUGCUGGUUGUUUGGUCAACCAUUGUGGCCUCAACCUCCAGCCUCCAUUCCAGCUACUACCCUCUGACCUGUAUCCCUACAGCUUGGUUCUUGCUUCCCAUAUGGACAGAAUGUGAAUUGCUUUUCCUACCAGACCAGCUGGGUCUUUUGUUGGUCAUUUCAGCAUUGUGGAUGCUUGCACGAAGCAGAAGCCAGCUUCAGGCAUGGUCUAGUAACUUCCAGAGAACAUACUUGAUAUUCAGAUGUGAGCCCUGAUAACACAUGACACAGGGAGAUGUUGGGGGCCUUUCAGAGUUAAGAGAAUCCAGGUUCAUGGACACACAUUUUGGAAGCAAAUGUUAAAAGACUCUCCAUAGCUGUGAUAUAUUUUACUUUCAAGUAAAAAUUUCAAAGUUCUAAAAGGCAAAUUACUGUGAAUCCAGACAGGGCCCCUGUUAUUAAAAUCUUCCCUGUGGACCAUCCUGCCAUGAUGUUAUAAACUGUUCCUUAAAUUGUAUUUACAUUUUUUUAAUUGUAUGUUUGUGGGUACAUGUGCCAAGUUUCACUUGUGGAGGUCAGAGGACAACUUUGUGGCAUUGUUUUCUCUCUUACUUGGGUUCUGGGCACUGAAUUCAUGUUGUCAGGCUUGCACAACAAGUGGUUUUAUCUGCUGGGCCAUCUUUGACGGUGCAUCAGAAAGCUGGGCAACUGGGAGGUGCCAAUACGUCUUUGCCCCAUAACUAAGGAGCAUCACAGGAAAUCAAGCAGGUACAGUCUGUGAUGGUGCAGAAUCUCAGAGCUUUUCACAGUAAAGAAGCUGAGUUUUACCUCAGAGAAACAGGCACAAAGGGGCUUGGCAUACUCUGCCUCAUCCCUUAGUUUCAGCAGCUUGGAUAUAGAAAAGGUUCUUUCAAAGGGACUUUAUUACAGUCCCCCGCCAUCACUGCUGAUAUGGAGCUUCUAAGCAGAGAUACCCAGGGCUCAUGUCACAGUGGCCCUCAGAGAAUGAGCUCCUGCUGUCACUGCACCCACAUUCCCGAGGCUGCCAUCAUCUGGAUCCUGACAAAGUACUCUGUUCUGUCUUCUACAGCCAUGUUGCCAUAUGGCUGUGCUAAUUCUGGGGUAAGACAUAGCUAUGUAACGCCAUCCGGGGGCCUUACUGUCUCUGCCUUCUAUUUCCUGGCUCUGAGAUGCUGCAGACCUAGUUAAUGAAAAGAUAGCCACCAUUGUGCUUGUGUCCUAAUCACUGUGGCCCCAGUCACUGCUGAACCCUAGCAUCUCUGGGGUCUUGUUUCAAUGCACAAUGACAUCUCUUUCUGGGACAUCAGGGCUCUUGUCCUGUGCCUUCAAGGUCUGCACCACAAUGCUGAUAUUACACUGUAAGGGCCCGGGAUAAUAAUUUGCUCUUUCCUACCUUUAGGCUUUGAGUGAUAAUUGUGUAUCAACAUUUUCAGGACCCAUAUUUCCAUGGUGACUCACUUCUUGGGGUCUGAACCACUAGAGUCCCCUUAACCACCAGGGAGGAAUUGCUAAUGUGCUGUACCCUAUGGUGUCAAUAUGUUUGGAUACAUUCCAGAACACAGUCUCCAACUUUGUGAAAAACAUUCACAUACUUCUAACUAGAAAGGGAGCCUACAGUAAGAUGUCACAAGAAUUCUGCAAGCCAUAGCGUGUAAGACUUCUCUUAUGCAACCGCUCUGAGACCUUGUACUUGGGAACCUAAAAUCUCAAUCUAGAAUGUCCUCAGUUAGGACAAGGAGAAUAGGAGGACCCAUCAGUUUUUCCACUGAAGACCUCAAUGGCCCUUGCUGCCAUAUGAUGGUCACUCUAAACACCUCAGCUGUGGCUGGGACUCCUAUACUCUUCACUGUCACUGUUUUCAACAGACAAAGCAGAACAAAGACUUUACCACUCACCCCUGGAAUCAGAGCUGCCACACUCCACCAACUGGCACCAUAUAUGCAAAUGAAUGAGACUGACACCAGUCAUCAAUGUGUGGUCACAAGAAACAUGAAAAUUCAAGGAAUUGUGAUAUCACUCAGGAGAAGCAUACUUUAAUAACUGACACCAAAGAAAUGGAAAUAUAUGAAUUAGCUGUAAGGGCCUAAAAUAAUUAUGUUAUGAGAGCUCAACAAGACACAAGAAAAUAUAGGCACGUGGUUCAAUGAAAUCAGGAAAAGGAUAUAAAGAUAGUAUGAUGAAUUUAUCGAAGGGUUAGAAUUUAUAAACAAAUAAAAACAAAAUAUAGUAUUAAAUAAAAUACUCUAAAUAAAUAAAUAAAAUAGUUUUAAUAAAAUAGAAUAUAGUCUAUGAAUUUUGAAAUGGGUUUUUAAAAAUUAUCUAGUGAGAGAACAAAAACAAAUGAAAAAGUAAAGAACGUCUCUGAAACUGAAAACCAAAAAGCUCAGCUGAGAGAAUUGGAAACAGGUGUGGGGUGGAUAAAGAAGGAGCGGUUCUAGUCCCCGUUUUAGUGCUGUGAAGAGACUCCAUGACCAUGGCAACUCUUGUAAGUGUUGAACACAUUUAAUUAAGAACUUGUUUACAAUUUCAGAGGCUUAGUCAAUGUCUUAGUGACUCUUUUAAGAACAACAUUAAUUGGUUCACCAUUUAACAGGUUCAGAAGUUCAGUCCAGUAUCAUCAAGGCAGGAGCAUGGCAGUAUCCAGGUAGGCAUGGUGCAGGAGGAGCUGGGAGUUCUACAUCUUCAUCUGAAGGCUGCUAGAAGACUAGCUUCCAGGCAGCUAGGAUCAGGGUCUUAGAGGCCAUGACCACAGUGACACACCUACUCCAACAGGACUAACAUCUUCUAACAGUGCCACUUAAGUGUUAAGCAUAUACAAACCAUCACAAUCAAUUAUCAACAUGGUGGAGAGCACGGUGGUAGGUGUGGCAGGCAGGGCAGCAUGGUGUUGGAGAAGCAGUUGAAAGCUACAUCCUGAUCUUCAAGCUGAAAGAAAGACACUGGGCUUGGCAUGGGCUUUUGAAAACUUAAAACCCAUCCAUAAGGACACACUUCCUCCUAAUCUUUCUAAUCCUAUCAAUUAACACCACUCCCUGGUGACUAAGCAUUCAAAUACACGAGCCUACAGGGCCAUUCUUAUUCAACCACUACAGAAAAAGAAUGACUGAAAACCUCCCAGAAACCCAGGAAAGCUACAGAGGGAUUUCAAAGGCAUCAGAUAGAUGUAACUCAAAGAGGUGUUCACUGAAACUCAUUAUACUUAAACUGUAGCAGUCAAGAAUAAAGAGAAUUUUGAAAGUAACUAAAGAAAAGUAGUGUGUCACAAUCAAGAGAAUCCUCCUUACUGCAAGCGUGUUCUCAGCAAACCCCUCUGGUCAGGAGAGAAUGGAAUGACAUAUUCCAAGUGCAGACAACAGCAGCUACAACAAUCACCUGUCAACAACAGUAGUUUUUAUCUGGCAAAACUUUCUAUCAGACGUUAAGGGGAGAUACUGGUUUUUCUCUAAAGCUGAGGGAAUUCAUCAUCAGUAGACCCCUCAAUGAGAAAAUACUAAAUGACCGCUUCCAUGAUAACAAAGCGAUGCUGACAACUAACACAACAGAUGGAGACGUGACAUUUACUGAUGAAGGCAAUCUAAAUCCGAGUUUAGAGCAAAACUGCAGUGGGGAUGUAUAAAUCUUUAAAAAAGAAGAUUCAUUUAUUUAUUUAAUGUAUAGAAAUACACUGUAGCUGUCUUCAGACACACCAGAAGAGGGCAUCGGAUCCCAUUACAGAUGGUUGUGACCCACCAUGUGAUUGCUGGGAAUUGAACUCAGGACCUCUGGAAGAGCAGUCAGUGUUCUUAACCACUGAGCCAUCUCUCCAGCCCCAAGAAAAACAUCUUAAUUGUGGAAAGGAUCAUUCCCUGGAUGGGGUUUCUGGAUUGUAUAAAGUGAAGAAUAUAUGACAACUAUUAUAAUGUAUUUAUCUCUUUCAACUUCUUAACUGAAGAAGCAAUGGGACCAGCUUCAUUAAGAUAUAGAUGCUGUGACUGCCUGUAAUAAUGGACAGUGUCUUAGUUCGAGUUUUACUGCUGUGAACAGACACCAUGACCAAGGCAAGUCUUAUGAAGGACAACAUUUAAUUGGGGCUGGCUUACAGGUUCAGAGGUUCAGUCCAUUAUCAUCAAGGUGGGAGCAUGGCAGUAUCCCGGCAGGAAUGUGCAGGAUGAGCUCAGAGUUCUACAUCUUCAUCUGAAGGCUGCUAGCAGAAUGUUGGCUUCUAGGCAGCUAGAAUGAGGGUCUUAAAGCCCACACCCACAGUGCCAUGCCUACUCCAACAGGGCUACAGCUUCUAAUAGUGCCACUCCCUGGGCUGAGUAUAUACAAACCAUCACAGAUGAUGACUCUGACCUGUGAGCCAACAUUACCUUCCUCUCUUUACUUCCUGUAGUGGUGGACAGUGACCUGGACCUGUGAGCCAAUAGAACUCUUCCUCACUAAAGUUGUUUUUGUCAGGGACUUUGUCUCAGCAACAAGGAAAGGUAGCUAUACUAUAGUAACUGAUUUUUCUAUUACUGUCAUAAAGCAUCAUGUUGAGAAACUUAUGUAAGAAAGAGUUUAUUUAGGCUCAUGGUUCUAGUGGGUUAUAGUCCUUGAUGGCAGAGCAGAGGGAGCAGGAUUAGACAUAGCAGCUGGAACAGAAGCUGAGGGCUUAUAUCAUGAACAGCAAGCACAGAGCAGAGAGAGCAAACUGUAAAUGAUGCAUGACUUUGAAGCGCUAAGCUUUCCCCAAGCAACAAACUUUCCUCAGCAAAACCACACCUCCUAAACCUCCCCAAACAGCACCACCAAUUGUAGAUAAAGUGUUCAGACGUCUGAGCCCAAGGGGAUACCUCAUUCAAACUACCAUAUCUUCAUGCACAUAUAAAAUUUUAUAUGUUGAAAAUUGUGACUUUAGAAGUAUUAAAUGUUUGGGACAACCAAAAAUAUAAUUUUUGUAUAUGAUUGAAAACAAACUUCUUAAUUGGAAAUAGAUUGGUUUAGUUUUAAAAUGUUUUCACUGUUCUCACAAUAACCAUGAAAGAUUAAAAAGCAACCAGAAUUGAUAUAUAGGAAAUACUUAAAAGACAUAAGACUUCAAAUAUAUUACUGUACAAUAUUUGGAGGGGGUAGAGGGAGAGAGGGGCGAGGGAGAGAGAGCAAGGAGGGGGAAGGAAAGAGAGAGGAAAACCAAAAAAAAAAUAGACAGAAAAUAAUAUGAUUUCAGUAGUAAACCCUUACUUAUCAAGUCAUUAGACUUUUAACCCAGAUGGACUGCGUUUUCCUAUUACAGUAGUAGCUGUAAAAACACAUAUCUAACUAUAUGCUGCCUACAAGAAACUCACCCAGCUACAAAGACAGGGGUAGGCUGGAAAUGAAAGCAUGGAAAAGAUAUUCCUUGCAAAUAGUAACCAAGAGAGAAAUGAAAAAAUUGUUUAAUAAUACAAGAGUAAAUUCAUAAAAUAUGAGAAUAAUAAAUAUUUAUAUAUUUAACUUCAGAAUACCUAAAUAUUAAAGUUAAGGUUAUUGACAUAGUUGAAAGGAAAUAAUAGUAAUAAUAACAGCAACAGCAACAACAAUAACAGAAUUUCAUAUUCUACUUUCAACAGGAGAGAAAUCAAGAUAGGAAGGAUUUUAAUAACAUUAGACCAAAUGGCCCAAACAGACAUGUACAGCAGAUACUACCAAACAGCAGCAGAAAACACAUUCUUCUCAAAUCCACACAGAAUAGUCACCAGGGCAGGUUACAGCAUAGCCUAUGCAAUACAUCUUAACACAAUGUUGCAUAAAAUGUUAUACAGUUAUAUGUUCAUUAUUGGAUAAUGUAGAAAAAAUGUACAGAUUCCUAGAUACAUUCAACUCACGAAAUCGAAGACAAGAAGAAACAGAAAAUUUGAAUACACUACCAAUAAUUAGGGAGGAUAGACCAGAAAUCAAAUACCUCCCAGCAAAGAAAAUUCAGGGAGCUGAUCAAUUUACAGGUGAAUUUGACUUAUCACUCAGAAGAAUGAACACCAACCCUUCAUUAAAUUCUUUAAAAGCUAGAAGGAGUACUAAGUUCAUUUUACAAAGCUAGCAUUACCCAGUAUCAAAGCAGACAAGGACAGCACAGGAAAGAAAACUACAAGCAGAGAGAGACAAAGUUACCACAUAAAGUUAAGACCGACCUAGCUAAAAAGGAUCACACACUAUGAUAAAGUGGGAUUUGCCCUUGGAAUGUAAGGAUGGAUCAAUAUUUCCUAAUAAACCAUAUGAUAAACUCAACAGCGGUAGAAAAAGCAUCUGAUAAAAUUCAACAUCCAUUUAGGGUAAACAUUGAGGUUUAAUAGAAAUAUACCUCAAUGCAAAAAAGGCAUUUCAUAGCAAGUCCACAGAUGAGCAGAUGAAAACAUCAUGUGUAUUGGGCAAAGUUAAAAGACUUUCCUCUUACGAUCAGAAACCAGAGAAGGCACUUAUACUACUUGUUUCUACUUGACCUUCUAGAAAUCUUAGCCAGAUGAAGUAGGCAAGAUAAAGCAGCCAAGUCAUUCAAAUUGUAAAGUAAUUUCUGUUUGUAGAAACAUGAUUUUUAAUAUAGAAAAAAACUCCAAAGACAAGACAAGAGUAUGUUGUAAUAAAUUAACUCAGUAAAGUCCCAGGAUAAAAAAUGCAGUUAUAUACUUCUAUAUAUUGAAAAGGAGCCACCUGUGAAUGGAAUUAGUAGUGAAGUAACACAACAUAAAAGAAUAGUAGCAACCAGUCCAACUGAAGGAGGUGAGCAAUCUAUACACUGAACACUAUAAAAUUGGUAAAAUAACUUUUAAGAGAUAAGUAAAUGGGGAAAUAUUUCAUAUUUUCAUAUUUAUAACAUAUUUUAAUGUUUUUGAAAGCUUUCUUCUUAGCCUUAUUUCUUUCCUUGUCCAGGCCCCCUUUGACUCUCAUGUAAGCCUUUAAAAAAAAUCUCAAGUCUGAAAUAUGAUACUUGUUUUUUGGCUUCUUUCGGUUAAAACACAUAACUUUCAGCUCCAAUUCCUUGCAUAUGAUGUAAUCUGUUCUCCUAUAUUUUAUUUUAAUUUAUUAUUGUUGUUGUUGUUGCCGCCAUUAUUGUUAUGUGUAUACACACAGGGAGGUCAGAGGAUCGUUUUAGAGAGUUGGUUCUCUCCGUUCACAUGGGUCUUAGAGGUCAAGUUCAGGGGUCAGGCUUGGCAGCAGUGUCUUUACUAACUCUGUCACCUUGCUCCCCAGUUUUCUCCUUUGUGGGUGAAUAAACUCCAUUGUGUACACAUGUGCAGGCAUAUAUAUGUAACACACGUGAACAUGCAUCACAUUUUCUCUAGCCAUCCAUCCACUGAUGAACCUUAAGCCAAUUCCGUAAUAUUGCUAUAGUGAAUCCUGCCCCAGUGACUAAGGUGGGUUGUGGGCAUCCCUAUUGUACUCUGAUUUUGGUUACUUCCUGUGUAUGGCCAGGAGUGCCACAGCAGGCAUCCUAACAGGCCAUUCUAUUAAGUACUUUCAACGAAUCUCCAUGCUCACUUUAUGGCGGUUGGACUGAUGUCUGUUCCUACCAAUGGUGCACAUGCUGCUGUCCUUGACAGCCUUUGUUUGCUUUCUUGAGGACAGCCAUCUUGGCUGAACUGAGGUGGUGGGAGUGGGGAGUCUCAAAGGUUUGAUUGUCAUUUCUUCCAUGGUUGAAGACAGUGAGUAAUUUUUGGGUGUAUUUCUUGGCCAUUUGUACUUCUGAGAACUGUAUGGUCAGUUCAUUUGCCAAAAGCAUGUUGUAUGCAUCUGUAAAAAUGUCAUGAAGCCAAUUUUUUGCAUAAUUAAUAUACAUCAAUAAAAGUUUAACAAGGCCAUUACU